ACCGCGACAACUCAGCUGGCAGAGCAUCUGUCGGGUAAGCGGAAUGUCGCCGGUUCGAUUCCGGCUCGCGGCU
RNAcentral lists this transfer RNA (73 nucleotides) under Fasciola hepatica (liver fluke). It matches the Rfam family "tRNA". Rfam says of the family: Transfer RNA (tRNA) molecules are approximately 80 nucleotides in length. Their secondary structure includes four short double-helical elements and three loops (D, anti-codon, and T loops). Lineage: Eukaryota; Metazoa; Platyhelminthes; Trematoda; Plagiorchiida; Fasciolidae. The record is from Rfam by way of RNAcentral.